Molecule: ribosomal RNA, 253 nt
Filed under: uncultured bacterium
Lineage: Bacteria
Description: partial 16S ribosomal RNA
Rfam family: Bacterial small subunit ribosomal RNA
Source: RNAcentral
UACGUAUGGAGCAAGCGUUAUCCGGAUUUACUGGGUGUAAAGGGUGCGUAGGUGGCAGGGCAAGUCAGAUGUGAAAGACCGGGGCUCAACCCCGGGGCUGCAUUUGAAACUGCCCUGCUGGAGUGCAGGAGAGGCAGGCGGAAUUCCUAGUGUAGCGGUGAAAUGCGUAGAUAUUAGGAGGAACACCGGUGGCGAAGGCGGCCUGCUGGACUGAAACUGACACUGAGGCACGAAAGCGUGGGGAGCAAACAGG